CCUACGGGAGGCAGCAGUAGGGAAUCUUCCACAAUGGGCGAAAGCCUGAUGGAGCAACGCCGCGUGGGUGAAGAAGGUCUUCGGAUCGUAAAACCCUGUUGUUAGAGAAGAAAGUGCGUGAGCGUAACUGUUCACGUUUCGACGGUAUCUAACCAGAAAGCCACGGCUAACUACGUGCCAGCGGCCGCGGUAAUACGUAGGUGGCAAGCGUUAUCCGGAUUGAUUGGGCGUAAAGGGAACGCAGGCGGUCUUUUAAGUCUGAUGUGAAAGCCUUCGGCUUAACCGGAGUAGUGCAUUGGAAACUGGGAGACUUGAGUGCAGAAGAGGAGAGUGGAACUCCAUGUGUAGCGGUGAAAUGCGUAGAUAUAUGGAAGAACACCAGUGGCGAAAGCGGCUCUCUGGUCUGUAACUGACGCUGAGGUUCGAAAGCGUGGGUAGCAAACAGGAUUAGAUACCCGAGUAGUC
RNAcentral lists this ribosomal RNA (465 nucleotides) under uncultured bacterium. RNAcentral's name for it is "partial 16S ribosomal RNA". It matches the Rfam family "Bacterial small subunit ribosomal RNA", at positions 338 to 795 of the family's 1533-position model. The record is from RNAcentral.